UUAGUGGCGGACAGGUAGGAUAUACCUGGGUAACGUACCUUUAACUUGGGAAUACCGAUUGGAAACGAUCGCUAAUACCGAAUGUGAUGGCGUAAGGCAACUUACGUUAAUUAAAGUGGGGGACCGAAAGGCCUUGCGGUUAGAGAGCGGCCCAUGGGAUAUCAGCUAGUUGGGGAGGUAAAGGCUCACCAAGGCUAAGACGUCUAGGCGGAUUGAGAGAUUGACCGCCAACACUGGGACUGAGAACUGCCCAGACUUCUACGGGAGGCUGCAGUCGAGAAUCAUUCGCAAUGGGCGAAAGCCUGACGAUGCGACGCCGUGUGGACGAUGAAGGCCUUUGGGUCGUAAAGUCCUUUCGCUAGGGAACAAGAGAGAGUAACGAAUAAUUGCUCGAUUUGAUGGUACCUAGUAAAGAAGCACCGGCUAACUCCGUGCCAGCAGCUGCGGUAAUACGGAGGGUGCAAGCAUUAAUCGGAUUUAUUGGGUGUAAAGGGCGCGUAGGCGGGCAAGUAAGUCAGAUGUGAAAUUCCGAGGCUCAACCUCGGAGCUGCAUUUGAAACUUCAUUUCUUGAGGAUAGACGGAGAAAACGGAAUUCCACAAGUAGCGGUGAAAUGCGUAGAUAUGUGGAAGAACACCCGUGGCGAAGGCGGCUUUCUAGCUUAUAACUGACGCUGAGGCGCGAAAGCAAGGGGAGCGAACAGGAUUAGAUACCCUGGUAGUCCUUGCCGUAAACGAUGUAUACUAGGUGUAGUUGGACUCAACCCCGACUGUGCCGUAGCUAACGUGUUAAGUAUGCCGCCUGGGGAGUACGGUCGCAAGGCUGAAACUCAAAAGAAUUGACGGGGACCCGCACAAGCAGUGGAGCAUGCGGUUUAAUUCGAUGCAACGCGAAGAACCUUACCUAGAUUUGACAUGUAGUGGACCGUACCAGAAAUGGUACUUUCCUUCGGGACUGCUACACAGGUGCUGCAUGGCUGUCGUCAGCUCGUGCCGUGAGGUGUUGGGUUAAGUCCCGCAACGAGCGCAACCCUUAUCGCUAGUUGCCAACAUUUUAGGUGGGAACUCUAACGAGACUGCCUAGGUUAACUAGGAGGAAGGUGAGGAUGACGUCAAGUCAGCAUGGCCCUUACGUCUGGGGCUACACACGUGCUACAAUGGCCGGUACAGAAGGCAGCGAAGCCGCGAGGUCAAGCAAAUCCCUAAAGCCGGUCCCAGUUCGGAUUGGAGUCUGCAACUCGACUCCAUGAAGUUGGAAUUGCUAGUAACGGCGAGUCAGCUACAUCGCCGUGAAUACGUUCCCGGGUCUUGUACACACCGCCCGUCACAUCAUGGGAGUUGGUUUUACCCGAAGCCGCUGGCUUAACCGCGAGGAGGGCAGCGUCUAAGGUAAGGCUGAUGACUGGGAUGAAGUC
Molecule: ribosomal RNA, 1413 nt
Filed under: uncultured prokaryote
Description: partial 16S ribosomal RNA
Rfam family: Bacterial small subunit ribosomal RNA
Source: RNAcentral